CUGGGUCCCUGACAAACAAGGCAAAGGAGCUCUGGGGGUGAAGGCUUAAGUGGGGAAGCACGGAAGCUUUAUCCUCUAUGAUGUCAUCACAGAAGUCUAGCGGCCAAAGUGAUCUGUGCUUCCUGAAGGCCCCUGUGGAGAGACCAGUCCUGGUUCAGAUCAAGCCCUGCCUGAGGCUGGGGCUGGUCAGCUUCUGACCCUCUGGUAGAGAGGUGGAAUUCAGGGGUGAAGAGAGGCCAGCCAACCUCGGAAGCUCUCAGACCUGGAUUCAAGUCCUGCCUUUAGCACAUCUCCAAAGGUUAGAGUGGGAAGGGACCUCAGUGGCCAACUAGCUCAAGUCCCCUGGGUGUGUGCUAGAGGAUACCCGAGGCAGCCCAUUCCACGUGUGGACGGUGCUCAGCACUCGGGAGACUUUCCUGACCUUCAUCUGAAACUGGCCUCGGCAACUUCUCACUGACUGUUUUACUGACUGUUUGUCCCACUGGGGCCGAGCAGAACCAGUCCAGUCUCUUCUCCACGUGACGGACCUUUACAUCCUGGAUGACCCUAACACGAUCCCUCCUAGUCUUCUCUUCUCCACACUAAACAUUCCCAGCUCCUUCACAUGAACAAAAUAAUAACCGCAAUGAUUAUUAAUAAUUAUUCCAUCAGAAUA
This is a long non-coding RNA of Monodelphis domestica (gray short-tailed opossum), 655 nucleotides long. RefSeq lists it as uncharacterized. The record is from RefSeq and is a predicted model, not a curated record. NCBI's taxonomy places the organism in Eukaryota, Metazoa, Chordata, Mammalia, Didelphimorphia, Didelphidae.